Molecule: long non-coding RNA, 416 nt
Organism: Balaenoptera acutorostrata (minke whale)
Lineage: Eukaryota; Metazoa; Chordata; Mammalia; Artiodactyla; Balaenopteridae
Exons: 3
Source: RefSeq, a predicted model, not a curated record
GAACACCAGCCCCGCUGCCCGCGAGGCGAGGGGCGGGGCGGCGCGCGCGGAUCGAUGGGCGAAGCUGGGGAGGAAUUUCAAUCCCCGGAGCGAAGUUAGAGCUUGAAGGACGGCGGCGGUGGCGGCGGGCGCAGCCCCGGAGCGGCGGCCGGGCGAGCAGUGGAAGCUGCCUUGGUGACACUGUGUCCUGCACCUUGUCUGGACCCGUGCUCUCCCUCUGUGUCCUGCAGUGAGGAUGUGAUGCCCACGGCCCCCCCUGGGGAGGAACACACCAGCCCGGUCUUCUCAGACAGGCCAGGUCAUCAGCGGGCCCUGACCCGAAGCUGGAAGGUUCUCUUGAUGUGACUCCUCAGGCUCGCGGGGACAGCACAGCGAGGGCGGGCACCUUGCUGGACGGUUCACCCUGUUUGCCCUGC